GAUGAACGCUAGCUACAGGCUUAACACAUGCAAGUCGAGGGGCAUCAGGAAGAAAGCUUGCUUUCUUUGCUGGCGACCGGCGCACGGGUGAGUAACACGUAUCCAACCUGCCCUUUACUCGGGGAUAGCCUUUCGAAAGAAAGAUUAAUACCCGAUGGCAUAAUGAUUCCGCAUGGUUUCAUUAUUAAAGGAUUCCGGUAAAGGAUGGGGAUGCGUUCCAUUAGGUUGUUGGUGAGGUAACGGCCCACCAAGCCUUCGAUGGAUAGGGGUUCUGAGAGGAAGGUCCCCCACAUUGGAACUGAGACACGGUCCAAACUCCUACGGGAGGCAGCAGUGAGGAAUAUUGGUCAAUGGGCGCUAGCCUGAACCAGCCAAGUAGCGUGAAGGAUGAAGGCUCUAUGGGUCGUAAACUUCUUUUAUAUAAGAAUAAAGUGCAGUAUGUAUACUGUUUUGUAUGUAUUAUAUGAAUAAGGAUCGGCUAACUCCGUGCCAGCAGCCGCGGUAAUACGGAGGAUCCGAGCGUUAUCCGGAUUUAUUGGGUUUAAAGGGAGCGUAGGUGGACUGGUAAGUCAGUUGUGAAAGUUUGCGGCUCAACCGUAAAAUUGCAGUUGAUACUGUCAGUCUUGAGUACAGUAGAGGUGGGCGGAAUUCGUGGUGUAGCGGUGAAAUGCUUAGAUAUCACGAAGAACUCCGAUUGCGAAGGCAGCUCACUGGACUGCAACUGACACUGAUGCUCGAAAGUGUGGGUAUCAAACAGGAUUAGAUACCCUGGUAGUCCACACAGUAAACGAUGAAUACUCGCUGUUUGCGAUAUACAGUAAGCGGCCAAGCAAAAGCAUUAAGUAUUCCACCUGGGGAGUACGCCGGCAACGGUGAAACUCAAAGGAAUUGACGGGGGCCCGCACAAGCGGAGGAACAUGUGGUUUAAUUCGAUGAUACGCGAGGAACCUUACCCGGGCUUAAAUUGCAGUGGAAUGAUGUGGAAACAUGUCAGUGAGCAAUCACCGCUGUGAAGGUGCUGCAUGGUUGUCGUCAGCUCGUGCCGUGAAGUGUCGGCUUAAGUGCCAUAACGAGCGCAACCCUUAUCUUUAGUUACUAACAGGUUAUGCUGAGGACUCUAGAGAGACUGCCGUCGUAAGAUGUGAGGAAGGUGGGGAUGACGUCAAAUCAGCACGGCCCUUACGUCCGGGGCUACACACGUGUUACAAUGGGGGGUACAGAAGGCAGCUAGCGGGUGACCGUAUGCUAAUCCCAAAAGCCUCUCUCAGUUCGGAUCGAAGUCUGCAACCCGACUUCGUGAAGCUGGAUUCGCUAGUAAUCGCGCAUCAGCCACGGCGCGGUGAAUACGUUCCCGGGCCUUGUACACACCGCCCGUCAAGCCAUGGGAGCCGGGGGUACCUGAAGUACGUAACCGCAAGGAUCGUCCUAGGGUAAAACUGGUGACUGGGGCU
This 1451-nucleotide ribosomal RNA is filed under the name uncultured bacterium. Its description in RNAcentral is "bacterial SSU rRNA". It matches the Rfam family "Bacterial small subunit ribosomal RNA". The record is from RNAcentral.